UACGUAGGGGGCAAGCGUUGUCCGGAUUUACUGGGUGUAAAGGGCGCGCAGGCGGGAUAAAAAGUCAGUGGUGAAAUCCUACAGCUUAACUGUAGAACUGCCUUUGAUACUUUUAUUCUUGAGUUCGGGAGAGAGAGACGGAAUUCCAGGUAUAGUGGUGAAAUACGUAGAUAUCUGGAAGAACACCAGUUGCGAAGGCGGUCUCUUGGUCCGAUACUGACGCUGCGGCGCGAAAGCGUGGGGAGCAAACAGG
This 253-nucleotide ribosomal RNA is filed under the name uncultured bacterium. RNAcentral's name for it is "partial 16S ribosomal RNA". It matches the Rfam family "Bacterial small subunit ribosomal RNA", at positions 524 to 776 of the family's 1533-position model. The record is from RNAcentral.